RNAcentral lists this long non-coding RNA (841 nucleotides) under Trifolium pratense (red clover). RNAcentral's name for it is "long non-coding RNA (TPRA_LNC013913)". Lineage: Eukaryota; Viridiplantae; Streptophyta; Magnoliopsida; Fabales; Fabaceae. The record is from RNAcentral.
ACUACAAGAAAAGUUGCAUAUACCCAGGGCUUUUUUACCCAGGGCUCUUUUCCGUGGGUAAUACCCAUGGCAAAGCCAUGGGUAAUGUCAAAAUAAGAAAAUCAUUCAUUCCCUUUCAUUUUUUUUCACGAAAAUACUUCUUCCACCCAAAAAAAUGUUGGGCGCGAAAUAUACUUUUUGUUACCCACGGUAUAUCCGUAUGUAAGUAUAAAAUAUAAUUUUAGUUACCCACGACAUAUCCGUAUAUACGGAUAAAAUUAUUUUUUAAAGGUACCCACGGCAUAUCCACAGGUAAGCAUAAAAAAUAAUUUUCGUUACCCACGGCAUUUCUGCAGAUAAGUAUAAAAUAUAAUUUUAAUUAUUUUUUAUCUAGUUACUUUUCACUUUACCUUUCUGUUCUCUAUCCACAAUAGCUCAUUUUUCCCUUUACAUUUCUCUCUACUCCAGCGAAGGAAAUGAAGGAUGGAAGAGGAAGCAAGACAAACCCUAUCACUCUCUGCUCCAGCGACCCACUCAUCUCCGACGACCAUCUCAACUAUGGCGACCCUUCCAGCGGCGACGGUGAUCUCUUUGUUCUUCCCUCAGUUUGAAUAGUGAGUUGAAUCCUUACUGUUCAAUCUUCUUAUUCUUCUAUUUAAUUGAUAUAAUCUUGUUGUGUGAAGGUGAAAAUCGAAUUUGUUGUUGUUGGAAAACUUUAAAUUUUAUGGGAAUUGAUCUUAGUUUCUUUGUUGGAAUUAUGCUAAUGUGUUAGGGUUUGGCUACUUUUUUCAUCUUAUUUGUUGUUAUCCUGCUAUUGUGCUGAGGUUUAGGCUUAGCUACUUUUUUUAUUGUCGUGGUUGUC